ACAGUCGUUAAACCACAGGUCUCUGUUCCAGAGUGGAGGCGAGUAGAAGAGGCCAGAGGGUGUUGGAGUCAGAGGGGAGAGAGAGUCGAGAUACCAGGGAGCGACAGAGGAGGUAAGAGGCUGAAUGCAGGAAGAGGAGGGGAUUGGUGAGCCAAAAAAACGUCGGCUUUGGGAAAGGCAGAGGUGGUGUGUGUCGUUCAAAGUCACACACCAGCCAGGUCAGUCUUGAGAGCCCUACCCUGGUAGGGCUCCUGAAUACCACAUAAGGAGGUAAAUGUGAAGACCACAGGGACAUGCUUCCAGCCCCAGAACUGGCAAAGCAGGCCUGGAAGAUAGGCAUUUUCAUUCCUCAGUCCCGUCCCCCCCAGCCUGCCACCUCGCCAAACCAUUCUCUGUAGGGCACCAGGGGAGCCCAGAGGAGCCGCACUGUCUGGCCUCAGCCGACAGCUGUGGGGUGGGCCUCCUUCCUCAUCCAUCUCCUUCUCUGGAGCCUCCUGAGGCACCUGGCUCCCUUGCUCCACCAGUGCUCCUUGGUUUUUUUAAAUUUUUCAAAUUUAUUAACCAUUUUAAGUGUGUACAACUGCCUGCAUGUAUGUGUGUGUGUCGUGUGCAUGCCUUUUGUGUCAAACCUCCUGAAACUGGAGUUGCGGGCAGUUGUGAGCCACCGUGUCGGUGCUGGAAACCCAACUAGGCGCCUAUGGAAGAGCGGCGAGUGCUCUGGACCAUUGAGGCAACUCUCCGCCCCUUCCUCCUGCCUGCUGAGUGGAGCCCUUCCCAAGGUCUGGCCUGUGCUCUCGGUUCCCCAUGUUCUCUCUCAAUCUCAUUUAAGAUGUGGUUUAUAUGCCUGGCUGUGCUUUCCCAAUCCUGAUCACGAGUGUGUCUCUCAGUUUUUCCAAGAGCUUCCAGCCAAUGAUGAAAAUCCCCCCGAGUUCCUCCAGAGCUCCUGGGUUCAUAGUUCUGGCAGAUUGGUUUGUGUUCAUACAUAAAAUAACCUGGGGUGGCUUAUCGUGACCAUCGAUUUGAUGUAAUUAAGAAUCACCUAAGAGACAGAGCUCUGGGCAGGUCUGGGAGGGUGUGUCCAGACACGUUUCACUGAAGCAGGAAGACCCACUUGGAACGUGCUCCCUUCCGUGCUAGGCUGGGCUCCCAGACUGACUGAGAAGAAUAAAGCCUGCCUGUCUUUUAUUUCUGCUUCCUGACCAGCUGCCUCAGGCUCCUGCUCAUAUACCUCCCUGGCCCAGAUGGACUAUCCACUCAGCCAGCAUGCAUGUUCCUUCCUCAGACAUUUUGUCACGUCGCCGAGAAAAGCACCCAAUACAGCUGCACAGCCAAGUCCGUUCAGUCUCCUUCUACAACGCUAAGCUGCCCCCUGCCCCCACGUUCCCACUGUCCUUCAUCCUCAGCAUCCGGGGCCCCGUCUCUGUUCACGCCUGCAUCCAGGCAAUCCCCACUUCCAUUUCUUCCCACCGUUGUCUGUGUCUUCCUCUUCUCUCUUCCAUCUAUCUGCCUUGCUUAGAAGUUAACUCACCCCGGGAUUCCACUCAGUUUCCCCGGGGUCCUUCCGGAUUUUCUUCCCACCCUCACCAUCUAUCCGAAGCUUGGAUCUGCCCCUCACCUUCGGUAGUGAGCUCCUCUGGGUUAUCUGGAAGCUCACCCUUGCCCGCCUGGCGGAGUUUAAGAGGGGGGCUUCUCCACGUCACGGGCUGGUCUUGAACUCAUAAUCCUGCCUCAGCCUCUGCUGGUAUUACAGGCAUGCACUGAUAUGCCCAGUGUCCGCGUUAUACCUGGGGCCUCCCCAUUCUUGCUCUCCCACGUGUACGGGUCUCAUACUCUAGGAAAACUGGUUAAUUCUGGUUCUUCCAGCAUAUCUAGAGUUGUUCUUUCUUUCGCUGGCCCUUGCUCAAGCUUUUUCUCCUGCUACAAUGCUCCUCCCAACCCAGCUCUCACUUCUCCUUCUGUUGAAUCCCAUCCAUCUUUGAAGACUCUUUUUUUUUUGGGGGGGGGGCAGGGGGUCGGGUAUUGAGACAAGGUCUCCUUCUAUAGUCCCUGUUGGCCUUAAAGUCUUGGUAAUUCUCCUGCCCCAGCCUCCCAAGAGCUGGGCUUACAGCAUGGGCCAACACACCGGGCUCUCUGAGUCUCUUUUCUUUAUCAUAUUCUCCCUUGCUUGGCUUUGUAUCUUUUGCUACCGGAACAUUUCCUUUGCAGCUCUCAGAAGCACUUGUUUUUGUUUUUGUUUUUUAAACCAUGUGACACUGCCUUUACCCAGAUGACUUCCCUUUGGAGGCCGCCCAGCCAGGGGCUCUCCUCUGUGUUUUCAGAAAGUGAAUUGCUAUGAUGUGCUUCAGGAAGCAGGUUCUUCCUUGGCAUUUGUGUCUUCAGCCACAAAAUUAAACAACCCAUAGGUUGGGUUAUUAGCAAUCCGGCCAGUGUCUGGGCUUCCACGUUCGGUGAACAUUCCUGAAGCAUUGUUUGCUGACUGCCUGAGCUGGGUGGGGUCAAUCUGGCUGCUUUGCAUCUGCGUUAGGGGCUUCCCAGGCAGGUGGUUCUUCUGGAACAUUCCAUCGGGUCUCAUUUCUGUGAAACCCACCUCAGCCUGGCCACAGUGGGGUGGUCAGGCAGAUGCUUGAAAAGGAAUUCAGUUCUGAGGGGGACUCCCUAUGGGCUGAUGAGGCGAAGCCUUGGACCGGGGAAGUGGCAGGACUACAGAGUGAAAAGUGGACUGUACUUACUUCAAAGCCACAAGAAGUCUGUCUGGGAGCCGAAGGAAGGCACCACCACUCUGGAGGCUAAAAUGCUGAGGGAGGGAGACUGAGAACUUAGUGGAGCAGUGACCUGCGGGGUGGGGGAGGGGAGUGAAAGUUCCAGCAUCCUGAGGCUAGAGCUGGAGUCGCCCUGUUUUAUCCCCCUGUGGCAGCAUCAAAACAAAAGCAUCUUUAACAAAAGCCUUGAUCGGGGGUUUAAAAUGAUCUGGCUCUAAAAUGUAGGAACAGGCUGGUGGGAUGGCUCUUAGGAGAAUGCACUGCUCUUCCAGAAGACCCGCGUGUGGUUCCCGACAAACCUAUCAGGCGGCUUAGUUUCCAAGUGUCUGUAACUCCAGUUCCAGGGGACUCUUCACCUCUCGCCUCUGCACUCCUUUGUGCAUACCCACACCGGGACACACAUACACACACAUGGUUAAAAACAACAAUUCAAAUCUUUUUUUAUAAGUGUGAAGCAUUUUGUUACCCAGAGGCAGAAGGAAUAAUGCAAUGGGCACUGGACUCGCCUCACAGGGGACUGGGACACUUUGGAGACCUGACCCAAAGCCCCACAGCAAGGAAGCAGGAAGAAGUGGGUAUGGAGGGGAGGUGGGGGACAAAGGAAUGUCCACCUGUCCCCACCUGCCCGUCCCUGCUCUAGAAACUCUUUGGUAAACUGCUGGGUAAACUGUCUGGGGACACCUACUGCGGCUCAAUUCUUCCGCUUUGUAAACAGAGCCCCAGAGAGAUUGGGACUGCACAUCUGAAGUCACACAAUGGAGAGUAUCAGAAACUCAGAUCCAAGUUCUCAGGUGGCCGCGUCAUGGAUCUUUGUACUCAGCCUCCUUUUCAGUGGAGGAGAGCUCCCACAUGCUGGACAGCGUCAGGAGGCUGAGGCCUGUGUGCUCCCCACGGACUGACUGCAGCUGGACUUCUGCCUCUGCCUGCCAAGAGAGCAAAGCCCGUUUUGAUUUGGUGUCCAACACCUGUCCCUGUGCCCCAUGCUCAAUGCGUGCUCACGUUUGUCCCACACUUCCACCUCAGCAGCCACCAUUCUUAGGGACCGAACCUGCAGCGUCUCCACACACUCCCUGGAGCUGGUAUGGCCCCAGCUUGUGUCAAAUUGACCAACAAAACAAAACCUCAAACAAAGAAACUAUCCAGCACAGGCCCUACACACAACCUGUGGAAAUGAAACCCAUUUUUCAAAUCAUCGAUCACUGCCCAUGAGUGGGUCUGGAAAUCAUCCAGGAGAUUACAACCAACCUUCAAAAGAAGCAGAAAAGAGACAGGGUCGGGCACCGUAGCUGGCAGAGUACUUGCCUGGUAGCCAUAAAGCUGUAGGUUUGAUCCCUAGCACCACAUAAAACUCCAGGCAUGUGCCUGGAAUCCCAGCACUCUGGAGUAGAGGCAGGAGAAUCAGAAGUUCGAA
This is a non-coding RNA of Peromyscus maniculatus bairdii (prairie deer mouse), 4170 nucleotides long. Lineage: Eukaryota; Metazoa; Chordata; Mammalia; Rodentia; Cricetidae. The record is from RefSeq and is a predicted model, not a curated record.